This 253-nucleotide ribosomal RNA is filed under the name uncultured bacterium. RNAcentral describes it as "partial 16S ribosomal RNA". It matches the Rfam family "Bacterial small subunit ribosomal RNA", at positions 524 to 776 of the family's 1533-position model. The record is from RNAcentral.
UACGAAGGGGGCUAGCGUUGUUCGGAAUUACUGGGCGUAAAGCGCACGUAGGCGGAUCGAUCAGUCAGGGGUGAAAUCCCAGGGCUCAACCCUGGAACUGCCUUUGAUACUGUCGAUCUGGAGUAUGGAAGAGGUGAGUGGAAUUCCGAGUGUAGAGGUGAAAUUCGUAGAUAUUCGGAAGAACACCAGUGGCGAAGGCGACUGACUGGACAAGUAUUGACGCUGAGGUGCGAAAGCGUGGGGAGCAAACAGG